Molecule: long non-coding RNA, 288 nt
Organism: Cercocebus atys (sooty mangabey)
Lineage: Eukaryota; Metazoa; Chordata; Mammalia; Primates; Cercopithecidae
Exons: 3
Source: RefSeq, a predicted model, not a curated record
GUUUUAUUCAGGUUUCUAAGAAGCUCUGAGACAAAUUUAUGAUCCAUCACUGAUUUCUGGAAAUAAAUUCCAGAAUGAGUUCAUCCUGCCAAUCCGGAGCCACAGUUUGGAGAUGCUGCAUUCCUAGAUUGAAGGCCUGGCUCCUGGUGGACAGCCCUCUCUCUAAAGCUACUCUCUCCAGGUUCUGGCAACCGCAGCCAAAGGGCCAAAGAAACCUGCAGAGGUAACAGAUGAAAGGAGAUGAUGAAGCCAGCCUUGUAGAAGGUCUCAGGACAUGGAGGUGCAGUG